This is a long non-coding RNA of Myotis davidii, 2413 nucleotides long. RefSeq lists it as uncharacterized. The record is from RefSeq and is a predicted model, not a curated record. NCBI's taxonomy places the organism in Eukaryota, Metazoa, Chordata, Mammalia, Chiroptera, Vespertilionidae. The transcript is spliced from 3 exons.
CGGAGAGAUUUUUUUUAUUAUGACUUGAUACUAUGAUUACUGUCGAACUCUCAGUCUUUGUGGAGGGGAAAUUAAUAAGUUUUUCUUAAGCACUCGGCACGGCCACUGCAUACCGAUGAGGCCGGACCAGCUCCCCCGCUGUGGGAGUCGACUAUCAAUCUGGCCUCUUGCCCGCUGGGGCCCGGCAGUUCUCAUAUCUGCAGGAAGCUGGCCAUUAGGGGCCAGCCUGGUGCCAGCACUUCCGGCAAACGCUGGGCAUCCCACGAGGGGCCAGGGGCCCACCCUGCUCCAUUCCUGGUCGUGUCCUGGGGCAGGAAUCAUAGAUGUCGAAUCCCAGAACCAGAACAGGCCUUCGCUUUCAGCUCAUUCAGAUGGAGAAACUGAGGCCAAGCAAGAUGUGACAGCUAGCGGCCAGGCCGGGCUGUCCCGCUGGGUGACAUCUCGGUGCUUCGGACUCUCUUUCCUUCGAGUCUGGCUGCCGUCCCUCCUGCUGCCUUUGUCCUGUUCCAAUUAGGCUGAAGGUUGACAGGUGACGUCUCUCAGCCCCGCAGGGAGAAUGAAUGGAGACAGAGCCCUAUCCCAGAAACCCCUGCUCUCCUCCUAGCCUCAGCCAUGCUCGGCCUGGGGGAGGGAAGGGCUCCCUUGGGCGGGCUGCCAGUCAGCUGCCUACUCAGGCAAGCGUGGCAAUGAACAAACAAAACAAACACCACCCCAUUCUCCCCGACCAACCGUGACCACUCACUGAGCGAGCUUGUCUCAGCCACCCCGGGAGCCGGGAGGGGAGGGACUAGACUGUUGCUGUCACCCAAGGCGAGGCCAGGCUCGGGCAGCAAGGCGGUCACAGUGCCUGGCGGUCCCAGGGGUCUCAGGCUGGGCCUGGAAGGUGGAAGCCAGUCCCCCACCAACUACACUGAUGGCGAGCAGUAUUGGCUGCAACCGGAGGCAGUCAGGUUAGACAGCAGGAGACUGUCAAUCAUAAGGAAAGUUUAGUCCCUCCCUGGGGUCACCAGGACAAUGACAGCAGUCAAAGGAGGGUCCGGGUGAGGCUUGAGCCCCCACUGGAAAUGGAGACCUGGGCUUCUCUGGCUGCACGUGGGCAGGCCGUUCUGGGCUGGACGUCCUGCUCCCACAGACCCUGGGUUCAGAUCAUUGGGUGUGACCUCUGUUCCACCUCUGUGCUGCAUGACCUUGCAUGUCUCAGGUGACAGAAUGAAGACACCGGGCUACCUGUCACCCACAGCCAUCACCUGGAAGGCGAGUGGAGCAGGGAGACACACAGAUUGGGAGAAGCCCCAGUCAUCCUGUUGCAAGGACUGAGGCACACGGGGUGCGGGAGCGAGGCUCUCGUGUGCAUUUGGGGAUUUGACACACAGAGCACCUGACAGUGUCCCUGUCAUCACAGAUGCUCAUGCUCCGGAGCAGAGAGAUGGUCAGGAAGCAGGGAACCAGGUGACUCCAUCAGAUUCAUCCUCUCAGCGAAUAUUUAUGGAACCAAUGGAACCAAUGCCACUGGCCAGGUAACUGAGGAACUCCCUGCCCUCCGGCAGCUCGCAUUCUGGUUUCCUCAUGCCCCGCAGAGCUCCAAAAGAUAAGCCCCACACCAGAGAUGACAACGACCCUCCGCUGUCGCCAAGCACGGCAGAAUUCAGCCAAGCAGGGAACCACGGAGUCUGAUUGGCUCUGGGAGCUGGAGGAGCCUGUGGGUGUCAGGGACCAGGAACCGCCGCCCCCGGCUGUCAUGCCCUCCAGCCACUGACUCGGUCCUGCCAAAUCCGACAGGACCCCUGGAUGGGCCGGGAGCUGUGGGCCUGCGUUACCCAUGGAACGGCCGGGCCAGGCUGAGGCAGGUGGCCCAAUGGUCAAGAGCAGGGCCUCUGAAGUCAGAUAAGCCUGGGAGCAAAUCUCAGCUCUGCCCCUUUCUCCACGCGCCCUCAGAGAGCUGACUUACUGGCUGGGCCCUCAGUAAGUAGGACUGAGCAGCAAUAGGACUGCGGGUGACCCCUCCCUGUCCUCAGCCCCCCUCAGCCUUCUUCCCGUUAGACAAGGAACAAGAGCAGGGCAGGGCCACGCUGGGGCGCUAUGCCACACCAGGACACGAAGCUAUCCUUCAGGCCAAGGACUCCCCACAGAACAAAUCCGUUCUGUGCAAUAAAGCACUUGGCUGCCACCCUGCUCAGGGCGUGCAAGAUCCAAAUUGCUGCCCUGGCACUUCAGAGACAGAGAAAAGAGAGACAAGCUCGGGGUCCCUGGGAAAAGACCUUUGAACCUGCUUAGGAAUCAGACUUGUCUGACUGCCGUCCAUCUGCCCUCCAGGUUUGGAGAAAGGGAAGGAACCCUGGAGGGCUGCCUGUCGGGCACAGGAAAUAGUGGGUAAAAAGGGCAGGAUUCUGAAAGGGGUGUGGUGAGGACACAC